AGUGAACGCUGGCGGUAGGCCUAACACAUGCAAGUCGAACGGCAGCACAGUAAGAGCUUGCUCUUACGGGUGGCGAGUGGCGGACGGGUGAGGAAUACAUCGGAAUCUACUUUUUCGUGAGGGAUAACGUAGGGAAACUUACGCUAAUACCGCAUACGACCUACGGGUGAAAGCAGGGGAUCUUCGGACCUUGCGCGAUUGAAUGAGCCGAUGUCGGAUUAGCUAGUUGGCGGGGUAAAGGCCCACCAAGGCGACGAUCCGUAGCUGGUCUGAGAGGAUGAUCAGCCACACUGGAACUGAGACACGGUCCAGACUCCUACGGGAGGCAGCAGUGGGGAAUAUUGGACAAUGGGCGCAAGCCUGAUCCAGCCAUACCGCGUGGGUGAAGAAGGCCUUCGGGUUGUAAAGCCCUUUUGUUGGGAAAGAAAAGCGGCAGGUUAAUACCCCGCUGUUCUGACGGUACCCAAAGAAUAAGCACCGGCUAACUUCGUG
Molecule: ribosomal RNA, 492 nt
Filed under: uncultured bacterium
Lineage: Bacteria
Description: partial 16S ribosomal RNA
Rfam family: Bacterial small subunit ribosomal RNA
Source: RNAcentral